AACGAACGCCAGCGGCGUGGAUUAGGCAUGCAAGUCGAACGUGAUCCAAGGGGAAACUCUUGGUGAAAGUGGCGGAAGGGUGAGUAAUGCAUAGAUAACCUACCCCGAAGACUGGGAUAACUUCCCGGAAGGGAUGCUAAUACCGGAUGGCCUCGCUUGGGCACCUGCUCGAGCGAGUAAAGGGGGCCUCUUCACAAUGCUCCCGCUUCGGUGAGGGGUCUAUGUCCUAUCAGCUAGUUGGUGAGGUAACGGCUCACCAAGGCUUCGACGGGUAGCCGGCCUUAGCGGGUGUCCGGCCACACUGGGACUGAGACACUGCCCAGACUCCUACGGGAGGCUGCAGUCGAGGAUCUUCUGCAAUGGGCGCAAGCCUGACAGAGCGACGCCGCGUGUGGGAUGAAGGCCUUCGGGUUGUAAACCACUGUCACCAGUUAUGAAGAGAUACGGUGUGAAUAACAUCGUGUUUUGACAAAGGCUGGAGAGGAAGCCACGGCUAACUUCGUGC
RNAcentral lists this ribosomal RNA (505 nucleotides) under uncultured bacterium. RNAcentral describes it as "bacterial SSU rRNA". It matches the Rfam family "Bacterial small subunit ribosomal RNA", at positions 29 to 508 of the family's 1533-position model. The record is from RNAcentral.